CGAAAGGCUCUUUUCAGAGCCACCCACGCCUUCACUAAAGAGCUUG
Molecule: non-coding RNA, 46 nt
Organism: Myotis brandtii (Brandt's bat)
Lineage: Eukaryota; Metazoa; Chordata; Mammalia; Chiroptera; Vespertilionidae
Source: Rfam